GAAAUAUCUUUUUUCAUCCUCGAUCAAACGAACCGAAAUGAACCGAUCGUGAUUGACAUCGAUAAAGAAUGACCAUCGGCGAAUAGUUAACCGGUCGAAGGAGACAGGUAGAAAGAAAAGGUUCGCGGACAGAAACCAAGUCGAACAUGGUGUAUGCAAAUCAGCACGACCUUUCGGGGUUACGUACGGCGCGUGUGUGUGUGUGUAUGCACGAGGCACAAAGAGCGGAUCGAUAAGUCGCCACCUCAACGUAAGCACUCGAACGAUCGAGCCACGAUGUCGUAAGUGGCAAAAUCAUCUGCCGUGCCGAGGCACCGUUCCAUAAACCUCGCGAUCUACGAGACACGCCAGCCCUCCAAGAAUCUCUUCCUGGACAGACAUAACGUUGCUUGAAAAAUCUGCAAACUGGAAUGCUCAGAGCCACGAAAUCGUUCCUUUUGAAUUAGACGAAAGGGAACGACGUCCCUUUUUCUCGAUCCUUCUGAUAUUACAAACGUGACAAGAAGAUUCUUGCAAAAGGCAAGGUGGACAGAAAAACGAGUAACCUUUCGGGCCAAGAUCCUACCGAUAGGUCGACCGCGUGCAUCCCUAAGGAAAACGAAGGAAAUUCGAUCCAGGAGCGUGACAAAUAUGGUCGAGUCGUUUGUGGAAAACCCAACGACUCGUUCUGUCAACCCGAAACUGUCCGACUGCUCGUAAACGUCCGGGAAAACAGUGGAAGAAAAUUAAUUAUUUAUGUUCCUUGACUGAAAUCUUGGAACUUUCUCCUGAAAAACGAAACGCCUAUAUAUAAAAAAAAAAGAAAUUUACUGGUAGUUUCCAGUGGUAAUAGAAGGAGGGUCGAGAUCGCAGUAAUAAAUCAUGUUUUUUUUUCGAAAAUCGUAAAAACGAGGAGGGUAAGAAUAAAAUGGCUCGUUACUGGGAAAGAACUGUUUUUUUCUCUUUUAUCUAUGGCUAGAUAAGAAUAGCCUCGUACCGAGGUUAACGGUUGCUAAGUUGAGUUUAUACUAAAUAUCUUUCAAUAGCGAAAGCUUUCACGCUUGAAACGCGCUAAUAUAUUUUCCAGUCGGUCCAUUCGGUACCGGUACGAAAUCGAUACAGUUAUUUUACCAUUAAACGUCCAGACACGCGGAAGUUGAAACAGGAAUGUCUACGAGUCCAGCAAACUCGGCAAACUGAAUCUGGAAUUUUAUUGUAUAUAUAAAAGUGAUUCCAGAGGACACGCCUUUCGUCGGAGUAACGAGAAACGAGCAUGUCAAGUGCAGCUGGCAGCUAAUUAGCAUCGCAUCUGUAUUUAUGGAAAAUCAAUGUCCACGGACGACCAUACGAGCAGAUGCUAUCAAGAGUUGGACUCUGUUGGUACGAGAUGCACGAUAACAGGCCCGGCUCUCGACGAACCUGGGGAUCUUCCAACGAUCUGACGUUGAAAUCGCUUGAUAUCCUCGAAAAGUAACGUCGCUUCGUCGGUCUUUAAAUAGACAAUUUAUCGAACAAUAGCGAGAGAAGUUUGAAUUAUAAGAAAUAACGAAAACAUAGAAUAUCUCUGACCAUAGAUAACUGAAAUCUUCUUUAAACUCCAAAUAUUUACCGGACGUCUUCAGCAGGAUUAACAGAGCCUUCCACGAGUUUGACCAGCACCUCUGCCACGUUUCGUCGAAGAAUUCCCGCAACGAGAAGAAGAGAAAACAUUGAAAUCCUUCUCGUUUCACACGGUUAUCGUUCGCAAAUAACCUUUGCCAUUGGGGGAUAGAGAUACUGGACAAGAUAGCAAGAGGAUCUCCGCGAAAAGAGAGCUUAGGAGAAGCCUGAUCCGAGUCCUCUGUGUCAACAGACGAUUCACCAACCACUUUCGUCCUCGUUCGUUUCCGAAGAUAACACGGCUCUGAUACCGCUGACGGAAGUUCCAUCGACGUGGGAAAGCCUCCGAUACACCUCUUCUUUUUCUUCUAUCUCUUAUUUGCGGCGCGAUACCGAGCCCGAGGUAAACGAUGCAUUCCUUUAUCCCAAGAAUUUCAUCGGAAGUCGUGAAUGUUUUCACCGGGUGAGUUUCAAGAAUGUUUAUAGCUUUGAUUGCCGCGUCAGGCGUUCGAUUCGCUUUUCAAUGACUCGAGGUUUAUCGGAUGAUCGGGUCAAAGGAUUAGCGUGGAACGGUUGAAAAAAAAAGGAAUAAAAAGGCGAGUCCUCCAGUUUGUCACAUCGCGGGCGCAUCUGAUCGAUCGUUUUCGUAAUUCAUGGAAACGAAAUCCUGCGACUGCAACCCUCGACGCGAAAGGUUACAUAAUGUAUCAGAGGCAACGAGAUCGCUUGCUUAUGCAUCUCGAUCGGACCCGCUGAUCGAUAGAUCGUCUGGAGAUUGUCCAGUUGCACGAGGAUCUUGAACCAAAGCGUUUCGAAAUCAUUUCCGACCUCAUCCCCGAUGGUUUCUCUUUUUAUUUUAAACAAGACGAUCUUCAAUCGUUGAAAAAUUUCUCCGAGAAUUAAUAUAAUUAACUCAAGAUUAAUCGGUUGCUGAAUUUAUAGCUUCGAUUGGUUCAGAAUUCUGUUCAGCAUCCUUAUCUAUUUUAUUUAUAAGAGUUAUCAAAUUGCAAAAGUGACAUUCAACGUUACUUCGUAUAUAUUUCGCCAUUUCUCUUGGUUUAUCUGUGCACUUUCGACUUGUUGCUCACGAUUUCACCAAUACAAAACGAAACCAGAUUGCGAUCGAAUUGCAAGUCCCAGAAAUUGUGAAAUUCCUUAAAAUCAAUCGGAGAAGCUGUGAAAAUAUCGUUUCAAUGAUACUCUGUUGGAGUAAUAAUCGAAACUCCAAUUAGAAAGAGGGAAUUCCAACAAUAUUUCAACGAUAAUAUUAUCAUUAUUAAAUUAUACGCGAAACGACAAAUGAACUCGUUUCACUGAUUGUUACGAGACUAAUUAUUAUCGAGUCAGUUAUCGUUCAUCGGCUCGCAAGAUUUCCAACUGAUAACGGCGAUGAUAAGAAGUUGAUUUACUUAUCAUCGACGAAUUGCGAAGGCUGUUGCUGAAAAAUCGAUCGAGGUCUUGCUAAACACACCGAUAAAACCGACGAAAAAUAAUGUAAGAACAUCUGUACGAUAGCGGGAUUCGUGGUGUUAACAGCUAAGCAAAUAGAAAUUAUCUAUUUGCCAGUGUCUGGUGAAAGUGAUCGAUCAAUGAUAUCUUCCUUCGAUCGUUUAGAAUGAUCGAAGAACAAAUGUAAUCAUUCAAGCUUAAAAGUUGAAGUAAUUUUGGCCGAAAUAAUUUCUUGAAAUAUUUAAACAACUUGUUAAAAAAGAAAAGAAAAAAGAAAUGUUAAGUAUCAUUCGAGUGAUCCAAGAGGCGACAACUUGGUCUGUCGUGGCUGUCUACCCGUUUCUUCCAGCAUCGCUCGCGUUUCCCCGCUUUUUCGUCGUCCACGGGCUUGAUUUACACGAAACAAGUGUCACGGCUGGAUAUAUUUAGACAUGGCGUCGUCAGGGACCGAUUUCGUUGUCCCUUGUCGUAUAUCAUGCGAGAGAAAGCUUUCAAAAGCUAUAAAUUCCCCGUCUCCUCGUCGAGGGAUGAAUUUAUACACGUUCCAAGAUGUUACGCAAUUCAACCCUUUCGCUACUUCCACCCCCCACACACGCAAUCAUCGAAUGAUUCAAAUAGAUCUUCUGUGAGAACUUUUUCUUUGAAAAUUUCGUUAUUCAAUUUAGAAAGACCAGAAUCUGUUACAAUUUCCAUCCGGAAAUAGCUGCUCCUCUUUCGUAAGAAGAAAGAAAAGAUUUCGCGUUCCAUUUUCUUUUUUAUCUGGGACAGGCAAGAAAAAAUGAGGCUAUUGGCGAAAUAAAUCCCGACACGCUCCCCUUUCAAAUAAAGAGAUCAUUUGUCUCGUAUAUUUUAACUUAUGGCUUCAUCUUUUUAUUUUUCUUCUUUUUUUUUUUUUUUUUUUUUUAAACGAUGAAAAUCGCGGUAGGGAAUAAACUUUCGUCCAAAUGGGAUCGCGACGAAGAAACGUACACGUCGAUGAGGCAAUCCUGUGUAAAAAUAAUCGAUCGACGAUGAAACACACGUGGAUAGAACGGGUAAUCGAGAAAAGGAGGACUCUUUUCGCCCAUUGAAAAAGGAACCGAUCGAUCCUCUGCGGGGCAGACUCCAAUUCCGUAACGAGGGUCGAAACGAAACAAGAAAAGCAAGGCUAAUCGGUCUCCUUCCCCUUAAUUACUCAACGACGGAGCUGUAUCGAUGCUAAUCAAAUCGCUCCGAAUCAGAAUGGAAAAUUAGUUAUCGCGGAAAGUUUUGAAAGUCUUGGAAACCUUGAAGAUCUCAUCAUUCUUAAGACUUUGGAUUACGUCAAUGUUUGAACUGGAAAGAAAUAACUAAUCUAAGAUAAUAUUAUUCACUAGAAAUAUAGAACUAGUAAGAUAAUAUUACUAACAUUCCAGAAAUCUAUUUUAAACACUGUUCAAUUGUUACUCAAAUAGCGUUCUAUUCUUGGAAUUAAAGUUUUGUAACAAUUUGCAGGUGUUUCAAGGGUUUCCCCGUUUCCAAUGGGGGGAUGCAAAACUGCUGGAGGAUUUGAAAGAAACGUUAGAAAGAGCAGAAGCAACGGGUCUUGAAGGGAAAAGAAAGCAGAGAGGGCUUGUUGCCAUGCAAGGGGUGGAACUGGCGUAGGAACGACCGCACCCUCGUCGUAGUAAUUGAUUGAGCCGCGCCCUGCGAGGGUGUUAGCUUCUACCAGCGAUGCCUUUCAACAGUCCUCGAAUCUAUUCGCUCGAGCUCGGUUUACUUUCGAAAAUUUAAUCUUUCUAUUAAACAUUAAGUGAGUAAUCCUUGUCUUUACUUAAGACAAGGAUUUUCUAAGAUAGUCCUCUGCUUAUCAUUUCCUUGCCUUAUUUACUAUCUUAGUAGCCCAUUAUCGUUUAUCUUCUCGCUUUAUCAUUUAGUUGUUAUCGUGUCCCAACAGAGCCUCUUCAGAAUCCCUUAAAAUAUUAAUAAUAAUAAUCUGUUACAGGCAUCCUAUAAUCUAUUCUGAACUACGAAAACGAAGAACUAAUUAAUUUCGAGCACGAUUUCGAGUCAUCGCUAGAAAGGAAGGCACGAGCAAACGGUCGACCUAUAGAAAACGAGGCUGUUAUAUUCCUACACCUCGCCAGCCAAAGUCUGGAAUAACGGCGAGGGUGAUGGCAGGACGGUGGUAGCGCGGGUACAAAGUAUGGUGGUGGCGGUGAUGGCGACGUUAUAGGUGGAUACGAGGGUGGCGGUGGACCGUCAUGCCACAUAGUGUGAUAGUGGAGCAUUAAACGACCAACCCCCGGCCAGUACUAUUGGCCCAACCUACGAGAACCCUAAACAGUAGCGACACAGCCAGACUUAAGAUCGAGAUCAAUUUUCCCAAUCAAUAAGCGAUAAAGAUAUAUCUAAAGUAAUAAUGUGAUAAUAAGAUAAAGUGAUAACGAGCAUACGCUUAGGGUACCACAGUAGCUUUCCUCGAUUUUCCAUUUUGAAUGCUUUCUAAUUGAGUGAAAAACGUGCUCAAGGAUGAACCACUGGUGUUACAGGAUAAUGGGUCCCUUUCGCAGGUAUAAGGAGAGAAAGAAAAAUUUCGAAGGGUCUUUAGAAAUCAGCCAUCAACACGGUGACUUCUGUUCUGACCUUUUCAUCCCCCUUGAGAGCACAAGGGUUCCAUUGUGAGGAGUUGACACUUGUUAUCGAAUCAUUAGACGCGCUCAGGGGAGAGCUGAACACAGAUUAAUGACCUUUUAAGUAAUCAAGCUCCUAUGAAGAGUAGAGCAAAGUUCAUAGAAAUAAAUGCAACGCGAAUCGAACGAGCAGCAGGGAAGAAUUCGCAUGAAUAUCAACUUCCAGCAGACUAAUGCAACAGUGAUAUACUUGUUCCCCGAGGCAAAGGGAUUCGCGAUGCUCUGUUCGAGAAAGCUGGUCCCCAGUUCUCGUCGGUCGGUUUCUUAAAGCCGAUCCGUACGAUGACCUGAGGAUGCUCGUCGAGCAAGGGGGAUGAUACCCUGGCGAGUAAUUAAAACUUCGAGGUCGACCACGAGGACGGGAAGGAGUCCUCUCACACCAUGGAACCUACGACUCGUACGUGCAAGACAACCUUUGGGUCUGUGGAAGAUCCGGCCCCGAAUACCGAACAGGCUUGGGAGUUGUUUGACCAGCUGCUACGAACCAAGAAACCCUCGUCAUGUCCUCCUUUCCUUUCCUUUCCUUUCCUUCUUAGCAACGCUUUCCCAAUUCGGCUUCCUACAGUCUCUUCUUCUUCCUUCGUUUCAAAUUUUUCCAACACCCCAUCAUUAUUAACGAAUGCUCUUAAGAGUCACCAAUGAUCGACACUACAAAUUGAAUAAAAUCGAAGGAAGAGAAAAAAGAACGAGGCUCGGAUUAGAUGAUUAUGCAGAUCACCAAUCGACACUUAACCCCCUGUCGUUAUAUCGAACCUCUAUUGCUUAACGGUGUAUGUAUCUCGAUACGGCACUGGUCGCCAAGAGCUGACCGAUCAUGGGCCACGGAUGGUCGUUGGGCGAACAAGACCGUUGUAACAGUACCUCACGUGCCAUAGGGAUCCCAUAACCGGCCACGUGUAAAAAAAAGAAAAGGUACAUAUUGAGACGCGAUCGAUGCCGCACCUGAGCCUUCUUUAUCUAUGUGAUCAA
Non-coding RNA from Osmia lignaria (orchard mason bee), 6647 nucleotides. The record is from RefSeq and is a predicted model, not a curated record. Lineage: Eukaryota; Metazoa; Arthropoda; Insecta; Hymenoptera; Megachilidae.